This 85-nucleotide transfer RNA is filed under the name Lentisphaerota bacterium. RNAcentral describes it as "Lentisphaerae bacterium (anaerobic digester metagenome) tRNA-Tyr". It matches the Rfam family "tRNA". Rfam says of the family: Transfer RNA (tRNA) molecules are approximately 80 nucleotides in length. Their secondary structure includes four short double-helical elements and three loops (D, anti-codon, and T loops). The record is from RNAcentral. Lineage: Bacteria; Pseudomonadati; Lentisphaerota.
GGUGGGGUACCGAAGUGGUCAACCGGGGCAGACUGUAAAUCUGCUGGCUUUGCCUUCCUUGGUUCAAAUCCAAGCCCCACCACCA